AGUCUGACGGAGCAACGCCGCGUGAGUGAUGAAGGUUUUCGGAUCGUAAAGCUCUGUUGUUAGGGAAGAACAAGUGCCGUUCAAAUAGGGCGGCACCUUGACGGUACCUAACCAGAAAGCCACGGCUAACUACGUGCCAGCAGCCGCGGUAAUACGUAGGUGGCAAGCGUUGUCCGGAAUUAUUGGGCGUAAAGGGCUCGCAGGCGGUUUCUUAAGUCUGAUGUGAAAGCCCCCGGCUCAACCGGGGAGGGUCAUUGGAAACUGGGGAACUUGAGUGCAGAAGAGGAGAGUGGAAUUCCACGUGUAGCGGUGAAAUGCGUAGAGAUGUGGAGGAACACCAGUGGCGAAGGCGACUCUCUGGUCUGUAACUGACGCUGAGGAGCGAAAGCGUGGGGAGCGAACAGGAUUAGAUACCCUGG
This 419-nucleotide ribosomal RNA is filed under the name Bacillus subtilis. RNAcentral's name for it is "bacterial SSU rRNA". It matches the Rfam family "Bacterial small subunit ribosomal RNA", at positions 380 to 790 of the family's 1533-position model. Lineage: Bacteria; Bacillati; Bacillota; Bacilli; Caryophanales; Bacillaceae. The record is from RNAcentral.